AGCAGCCGCCACGGUAAUACGUAGGGUGCGAGCGUUAAUCGGAAUUACUGGGCGUAAAGCGUGCGCAGGCGGUUCGUUAAGACAGAUGUGAAAUCCCCGGGCUUAACCUGGGAACUGCAUUUGUGACUGACGGGCUAGAGUAUGGCAGAGGGGGGUAGAAUUCCACGUGUAGCAGUGAAAUGCGUAGAGAUGUGGAGGAAUACCGAUGGCGAAGGCAGCCCCCUGGGCCAAUACUGACGCUCAUGCACGAAAGCGUGGGGAGCAAACAGGAUUAGAUACCCCAGUAGUCCCUGUCUCUUAUAA
This 303-nucleotide ribosomal RNA is filed under the name uncultured bacterium. Its description in RNAcentral is "partial 16S ribosomal RNA". It matches the Rfam family "Bacterial small subunit ribosomal RNA", at positions 507 to 809 of the family's 1533-position model. The record is from RNAcentral.